RNAcentral lists this ribosomal RNA (257 nucleotides) under uncultured bacterium. Its description in RNAcentral is "partial 16S ribosomal RNA". It matches the Rfam family "Bacterial small subunit ribosomal RNA", at positions 8 to 260 of the family's 1533-position model. The record is from RNAcentral.
CAGAGUUUGUCCUGGCUCAGGAUGAACGCUAGCGGCAGGCUUAACACAUGCAAGUCGAGGGGCAGCGGGGUGUAGCAAUACACUGCCGGCGACCGGCGCACGGGUGCGUAACGCGUAUGCAACCUACCCAUAACAGGGGCAUAACACUGAGGAAAUUGGUACUAAUUCCCCAUAACAUUCGAAGAGGCAUCUCUUUGGGUUGAAAACUCCGGUGGUUAUGGAUGGGCAUGCGUUGUAUUAGCUAGUUGGUGGGGUAA